Molecule: RNA transcript, 1916 nt
Organism: Rhododendron vialii
Lineage: Eukaryota; Viridiplantae; Streptophyta; Magnoliopsida; Ericales; Ericaceae
Exons: 5
Source: RefSeq, a predicted model, not a curated record
CCGGUCCUUGGCUGCGUGUUCUAGAUUCCACUCCCUUCUACAGCUUUCCUUCAGAGAAAGAGAGAGAGAGGGGGGCCAAUUUGUGCAUUUCCUCCGUAGUCGUCGCCCCUUGCCCUUUUGCUACAGUGUCGCGGGACGUGAGAGCAACUGUAUCUUUCUGCUUUCAAAGAUAUUGCGUCACGGCCCUAGGCCAAAAUCGUCACCAUAAAAAAUCAUGGUUUUCACUAGGUAAGCUCUUCAUCUGGGGCGUGAAUGGAUGUAUCGAUUCCUGGGUUUUGAUUUGUAGUGUUAAUCGGUUCACUAGUGGUUCGAGCCUUUAUCGCCCUCUCUUCAACCGAAGCUCUAUUCUGAUUUGCAUCCCUAGGAUCAGGGAUUCAAGUAGUCGGAAGAAAACCAUAGCCGCUGUGUCGUACUGUAGAGAAAAUAACUAUGGCCAGAUCACUUUUAAGCCAGAUGUCAAAUUCAUGCGUGACUAUGGUGAUUUGUUAGAGUUGGGCGGUGAUCUUGAAUACACAAUAGAGAAUGAUUUAGUGAUUUGGUUGGAGCCAUUGUGCAGAAUUCAUUUGUGUGAUAUAGCACUAUUGGUAUUUAUCUAGCAUUUCAAGUCAUUACGAUUUAUAUAUUUUUACUUGUUGCUGUGCUUUAUUAAUUUGAAGAAAAAAUUAGAAUUUCUUGCAAGUAUAUAUAGUUUUUUCACUUUCUAUUAAAGAAACUUCUUUCUUCUAGGUGUUGGUUGUUGUUGGUAUUUAGCAUACAUCUCGAACCCUGAUAUAACUAGCUUAAUGGUGGACAAAAUAUACCUUUUAACACACCUUCAAAAAUUGCGAAUGAGGAAGUUUCCCUCGCUGAAAUGGAAGCACUAUGGUCAUUCGUUCUCCGUAUGUUUGCUGGACUAUGGAAAGGCAUCCAAUUCCAGGAGUUGGUGUUCGUGAUUGUUAUUUUGUUGUUACUGCUGAGGUCGAAAAAUUUUAUUUUUGCAACAUACCCAAGAGAAAAUGACAGCACCAUUUCCAAAGCACACUACAAAUUCGUUUGUGACUAUGUUGAUCGACUGGGAUUGGGUGUCGAUUCACACUAGACUUCAGAGGCCUCCCUGGUAGUCUGGCUAAAUGCUAUCACUCAUAAUUUAUUUGUGUGUGAAAGUAAUGUUAGUAUUCACUUAAUAUUUCUUUGAUUAAAGCUUUGUGUUUAUUUUAUUGUUUUCCUCUGUUAGUAGUUUAAAAAAUUGGAUUUUCUUGUGUUCAUAAAGAGUUGUAUCAGUAGUUAUUAUUUUUUUAAGAAAAGUUUUGCUUCUUGAGUGUGGAUUGUAGCUGGUAUUUGGCAGAAAUUACAGACCUCCAUUUGACUAGUUUAAGGGUUUGAUUCUCUAACUUACUGUCUUUUAUUUAGCAAUUCUUUUCUUGUAGUUCUUGUUGUUUUCACUUUAUUCUUUAGUGAUGACAUGAUUAUUGCAUAGGUAUUGCCACAGGAGUGUAAGCGAUUUCUACAAGGUCACAACAGGACAACAAUCACAGAGCUAUGGAUAAUGAUACAUGUACCAUAGUUAAAAUUCUACUUAUAACUUGAUGUUGUAUAAAUGUUAGCAAGUCAUGUAAGUGCAAAAAAUCAUCAUUGCCCUCAAGUUUUAAGCUCUUGUUCUACUUUAGCUCACUACAAUUACAAGAGGGUGCCAAUCUUGCCUCUCAGUUAUUGAGUUUGUGGUGCCUUCUCUAUUUUCUCUCCGUAUUUAGUUAGAUUCUUUUUUUUUUUUGUUCUAUUUUCUUCCCGCAUUUAGUUAGAUUCAUUUUUUUGCCUCUUGUUCUUUGAGAGUUAAGAUAACUAUGUUGAAAGAGCAGACUAACAUUUACUUCUCAAUGUACACACCUUAAACUUCCUCAAACAUACAGUACAUCACAGGCACAAAAUUCAUAGGCAUG